This 853-nucleotide ribosomal RNA is filed under the name uncultured Bacteroidota bacterium. RNAcentral's name for it is "bacterial SSU rRNA". It matches the Rfam family "Bacterial small subunit ribosomal RNA", at positions 60 to 919 of the family's 1533-position model. Lineage: Bacteria; Pseudomonadati; Bacteroidota. The record is from RNAcentral.
AGUCGAGGGGUAUAGUUCUUCGGAACUUGAGACCGGCGCACGGGUGCGUAACGCGUAUGCAAUCUACCUUUUACAGAGGGAUAGCCCAGAGAAAUUUGGAUUAAUACCUCAUAGUAUAUAGCCCUGGCAUCAGGAUUAUAUUAAAGUCACAACGGUAAAAGAUGAGCAUGCGUCCCAUUAGCUAGUUGGUAAGGUAACGGCUUACCAAGGCUACGAUGGGUAGGGGUCCUGAGAGGGAGAUCCCCCACACUGGUACUGAGACACGGACCAGACUCCUACGGGAGGCAGCAGUGAGGAAUAUUGGACAAUGGGCGCAAGCCUGAUCCAGCCAUGCCGCGUGCAGGAUGACGGUCCUAUGGAUUGUAAACUGCUUUUAUACGAGAAGAAACACUCCAACGUGUUGGAGCUUGACGGUAUCGUAAGAAUAAGGAUCGGCUAACUCCGUGCCAGCAGCCGCGGUAAUACGGAGGAUCCAAGCGUUAUCCGGAAUCAUUGGGUUUAAAGGGUCCGUAGGCGGUUUAAUAAGUCAGUGGUGAAAGCCCAUCGCUCAACGGCGGAACGGCCAUUGAUACUGUUAAACUUGAAUUAUUAGGAAGUAACUAGAAUAUGUAGUGUAGCGGUGAAAUGCUUAGAGAUCACAUGGAAUACCAAUUGCGAAGGCAGGUUACUACUAAUGGAUUGACGCUGAUGGACGAAAGCGUGGGUAGCGAACAGGAUUAGAUACCCUGGUAGUCCACGCCGUAAACGAUGGAUACUAGCUGUUGGAAGCAAUUUCAGUGGCUAAGCGAAAGUGAUAAGUAUCCCACCUGGGGAGUACGUUCGCAAGAAUGAAACUCAAAGGAAUUGACGGGGG